AGGACAAAGCCAAUGGCAAGAUGAAAGGAUUAAACUUCAUACAAUACCUGAACUGGAGCCUGCAGGAAAAGCAGACAGAACCUCUGGGCCAGAGGGCCAAGGGGCCUGGUCACUUCACCAGACCUGUCUCAAUGCCAGCACUUAUUCUGUUAAUAAUGCUUGCACAGAGAAAAGAACUCUGGCCUUAGAAGACUAGGCGAGGGGUCUAGGGGAUGGGACAGAGCAUCCAAGUACUCUUGGGAGAGUAAGGAGUUGUUCUUUGGCAUUAUCUCCCACUCUUGUUCUUGUGAAGAUGAAUGAGAACAAAGAAAGGAUCCCAAAACACAAAUUAGGAGACCUGGGCAAGAUGGGAAAUAACAUCUAAGAUCCCUCUGAUGCUACCAUUGUACUUUAUGACAUAGAAUGCUUUAUCAUCUACGCCUAGGCUGAAGCCUGGUAACCUCCCCUGGUAACUAAACCAAUGAUCUCAGAGAGAACUAGGUAAGAAUCCGAGGGAACAUUCUGCUCACACAAAGGCAAGAACAAGUAAAGAAACCCUCUUCAGAGGUCAUCAUUACAUCUAGGACCUAACCAUCGAGUAAAUGCUCGUCCUCUCCCAUCGAGUGCUGGAUUAACCAACGAGCCUGGCACCAGCGGAGCUGAAGUACACUGGCCAGCAGAAUGCUCUGCUUCUGGAGCAGAGCACAAGACAACAGUUUAGGAGCAAGAAAGACCUUCUGGACUUACUAUGUUCAAACUGCAGAAUUUCCAUAAAGACUCCAGUGUUUUGAACUUACCUACAAGUGACAGAGUCAGACCUCUGAAGGAAUGGAACCUGAAGUAGAGAGCCUUUUAUAUUCAGGCUACAGAAGACAAUGUCCUAGGUCCAAACAAUUUAGAGGAAACCAGAAUAAAGCAUCAAAUAUCCUCAGAAGCAGCAGACCAAGGAAACAAGAAGAAACAGGAUCCUGACUGCCAAGGAAGCACUUUCAACUCUCAACCACUCUCUGGUAAUCAUCACCAGUCAGAGCUGGACUCUGAAGUUCCAACUUACAAGUCUGAAAGGAUGAGAGGCCAAGCAGCUCCAGUCAUUUCUUAGAGGAUUUAGAAACCUAUGCUGCUUCAUAAAAAAAAAAAAUUGUUCUCUGCAGAGACAACUGCCCAAAACUACUGGAAGCAGGCCACCAUGGGGAAAAGCCACCACCAUGGGGAAAAAAGCAAAACCACCACCACCAAAAAAAGCCCCACAAACAGAAAAACCCCAGCACUGAAUCCGAGCAAGCAGCUGAAGAGCAGCGAGGAAGCACAGCACAGCGCAGGUGUGAAGGGGGCAGAGACAGGAGCUGCUUCUGGGGCAGACCAUCUUCCUCCUGUCGCCUCUUGUUUGAGACAGGUCUCACUCUGCAUCUCAGUCUGGCCUCAAACUCACAGGGGACCCUCUGCCUCAGAUUCCCCAGGAUAACAGCUGUGAGCCACCACAAAUUGCUUCUUUCCUCUUUGAUAUGUAUGUCAUUUUCGAUAAAGAUUUAUGUAUGAGU
Long non-coding RNA from Mastomys coucha (southern multimammate mouse), 1517 nucleotides. RefSeq lists it as uncharacterized. The transcript has 2 exons. The record is from RefSeq and is a predicted model, not a curated record. Lineage: Eukaryota; Metazoa; Chordata; Mammalia; Rodentia; Muridae.